Molecule: non-coding RNA, 745 nt
Organism: Pimephales promelas (fathead minnow)
Lineage: Eukaryota; Metazoa; Chordata; Actinopteri; Cypriniformes; Leuciscidae
Source: RefSeq, a predicted model, not a curated record
GACUUUUUAACAAACAUUUUGCAUGAUACAUUUUGAGGAUUUUUUGUCAAAAUGUUGUUAUCUUUUAUAAAUCAUUGGCACAAUAACAAAGGAGGAACAUUAUCAAAGCAACAUUCAUCAAAUGUUUUGUGGACAUUUACCUGAGAUGACAAAAUCUCAUAAUAUAUGUUAACAAAAGCUCAUAAAAUUGUAAGGAUAUUUUAAGGAAGCUGUUUAGGUAACAGAUUGUAGAAUUAUUUUAACCUAUAGAAUAAUGGCAUAAUUUUCCAUAAUGAAAGAGGAACAUUGUCAAAACAGCAUACGGUAAAGUGUUUUGAGGAUAUAUUAGGCUACUCUGAAAUGAACUGUUGCGACAAAUGCGUUUACAAGAGAUGAGAAGCUGAUUGGAGGUCGCUGUAGAUCGACGUUUAAAACCACCAAUCACAGCGCGAUGUUCCCAUGACGUAAGAACAUUUGAACUCGACAAACAGCGCAAAUAAAGCAACGUUUCUGUUGAAGAAAUCGGCGCAGAAUGUCCGUUGUCUAAAUUGGCGACACAUUGGCCCAAAACAACAGAACUCCUGGUCAACGGAACUCUUUCACAACUACUCCAAACGGACUGUUUCAAGAUGAUUAACUUACCGAUGACACAAUAAAGUCUCCAUUUACAACCAAGGUAGCCAAGAUGCCGAAUGGCAGUGAAUGGCCGUCUAUCAAGGCGCAUCCAUCCAUGAUAAAAGUAAUCCACCACAUGACUCUGGCGGGG